UUUAGGCAAACGCUGCAUUUAAUGUAGAGGAAAGUCCAUGCUCACUCAUUCUGAAAUGAAUGAAAGUGUUCGUGCUAAGGGAAAAAAUAACCUUAGGUAGUACGUAAGUAUUAACGGCGAUGAGGUAGUCAAGAACUGACUAUAUUAGUCAUAAAGUGCCAUAGAGACGAGAUAGUUAGGGAUAACUAUUGUGGAACGAGGUAAACCCCACGAGUGAGAAACCCAAAAUUGGUAGGGGAGCUCUUACGAAUGAAUAACAAAGGAGUAAGGGAAAGAGAAAUCUUUAGAUAAAUGUUUGCCACCUAUUUAUAGGUACAGAACAUGGCUUAUU
This 331-nucleotide RNase P RNA is filed under the name human gut metagenome. Its description in RNAcentral is "Bacterial RNase P class B". It matches the Rfam family "Bacterial RNase P class B". From Rfam's summary of the family: Ribonuclease P (RNase P) is a ubiquitous endoribonuclease, found in archaea, bacteria and eukarya as well as chloroplasts and mitochondria. Its best characterised activity is the generation of mature 5'-ends of tRNAs by cleaving the 5'-leader elements of precursor-tRNAs. The record is from RNAcentral.